Helianthus annuus (common sunflower) is the source of this 142-nucleotide long non-coding RNA. RefSeq lists it as uncharacterized. The record is from RefSeq and is a predicted model, not a curated record. The transcript is spliced from 2 exons. NCBI's taxonomy places the organism in Eukaryota, Viridiplantae, Streptophyta, Magnoliopsida, Asterales, Asteraceae.
UCUUGGUUUUGGGUUAGUAACUGGAUAUGUGGAUGCAAAACAACAGGAUGCAGUCAACUGAUGGUCAACAGUCAAGAAAGAAUAAGUAAAAGAUUGAAAAGUUGAACUUAGUUAUCAAGGAGCUCGUUAAGGAAAAAGAUGA